GGCAGUGUGGCCUAGUGGAGAGAGCACUAGAAGACUCAAGAGACUUAGGUUCUAUUCCCAGCUUUGCCA
Molecule: transfer RNA, 69 nt
Filed under: Chelonia mydas (Green sea turtle)
Lineage: Eukaryota; Metazoa; Chordata; Testudines; Cheloniidae
Rfam family: tRNA
About the family: Transfer RNA (tRNA) molecules are approximately 80 nucleotides in length. Their secondary structure includes four short double-helical elements and three loops (D, anti-codon, and T loops). Further hydrogen bonds mediate the characteristic L-shaped molecular structure. tRNAs have two regions of fundamental functional importance: the anti-codon, which is responsible for specific mRNA codon recognition, and the 3' end, to which the tRNAs corresponding amino acid is attached (by aminoacyl-tRNA synthetases). tRNAs cope with the degeneracy of the genetic code in two manners: having more than one tRNA (with a specific anti-codon) for a particular amino acid; and 'wobble' base-pairing, i.e. permitting non-standard base-pairing at the 3rd anti-codon position.
Source: Rfam by way of RNAcentral